GAGGCGGGCUGGACCUCUCGGGGUUACAGCCUUGCUGAAUUAUUCACCCUUGUCUUUUGCGUACUUCUUGUUUCCUUGGUGGGUUCGCCCACCACUAGGACAAACAUAAACCUUUUGUAAUUGCAAUCAGCGUCAGUAACAAAUUAAUAAUUACAACUUUCAACAACGGAUCUCUUGGUUCUGGCAUCGAUGAAGAACGCAGCGAAAUGCGAUAAGUAGUGUGAAUUGCAGAAUUCAGUGAAUCAUCGAAUCUUUGAACGCACAUUGCGCCCUUUGGUAUUCCAAAGGGCAUGCCUGUUCGAGCGUCAUUUGUACCCUCAAGCUUUGCUUGGUGUUGGGCGUCUUGUCUCUAGCUUUGCUGGAGACUCGCCUUAAAGUAAUUGGCAGCCGGCCUACUGGUUUCGGAGCGCAGCACAAGUCGCACUCUCUAUCAGCAAAGGUCUAGCAUCCAUUAAGCCUUUUUUUCAACUUUUGACCUCGGAUCAGGUAGGGAUACCCGCUGAACUUAAGCAUAUCAAUAA
Molecule: ribosomal RNA, 521 nt
Filed under: Alternaria alternata
Lineage: Eukaryota; Fungi; Ascomycota; Dothideomycetes; Pleosporales; Pleosporaceae
Description: eukaryotic LSU rRNA
Rfam family: 5.8S ribosomal RNA (bases 155-308)
Source: RNAcentral